Molecule: ribosomal RNA, 806 nt
Filed under: uncultured fungus
Lineage: Eukaryota; Fungi
Description: eukaryotic LSU rRNA
Rfam family: Eukaryotic large subunit ribosomal RNA
Source: RNAcentral
CCCGCUGAACUUAAGCAUAUUAUUAAGCGGAGGAAAAGAAACCAACAGGGAUUCCCCUAGUAACGGCGAGUGAAGCGGGAAGAGCUCAAAUUUAAAAUCUGGUCGGCUAGCGCCGGUCCCGAAUUGUAGUUUGAUGAGGCAUGCUCUGCGGCGGCCCGGGUCUAAAUCCCUUGGAAAGGGGUAUCAUAGAGGGUGACAAUCCCGUCUAUGACUCGAGAGAGCCUGUCGUGAUGUGAGCGGUCUUCAAAGAGUCGGGUUGUUUGGGAGUGCAGCCCAAAGUGGGUGGUAAAUUCCAUCAAAGGCUAAAUAUUCACGAGAGACCGAUAGCGAACAAGUACCGUGAGGGAAAGUUGAAAAGAACUCUGGAGAGAGAGUCAAAUAGUACGUGAAAUUGCUAACAGGGAAACGUUGGGCACCAGUACACGCCAGAGUCAAAUCAACCUGUCAGUCUGGGCCACUUUGGAUGCGGUAGCCGUAAGGUACCGUAGUCAAGGGUAGGCUUUUAUUGCUGGGUGCACUUUGGCUUUGUGCGGGUUAACAUCGGUUUCGACCGCCACAUAACGGCCGGGGGAAGGUACGUUUGGCGCAAGUCAAACAACUUAUUAGCCCCUGGUGCCGCGCGGCGACCGAGACCGAGGAUUCGCGGUCCGCGCCUUUGGCAGGGCCCUCCUGCGGCAACUCGGGCGCCGAUUACUGACAGCUUGCUGACAGUAGUCGAGGCUUGCUUGAAUUGAGCGUAGGAUGUGGUCACUAGCGGACUACGGACGUUGACGAAAUGGUGUUCAACGACCCGUCUUGAAACACGG